UGGAGAGGUGGCCGAGUGGUUGAAGGCGCAGCACUGGAAAUGCUGUUAGGAGGCAACUUCUACGAGGGUUCGAAUCCCUCCCUCUCCGU
Molecule: transfer RNA, 89 nt
Filed under: Nostoc carneum NIES-2107
Lineage: Bacteria; Bacillati; Cyanobacteriota; Cyanophyceae; Nostocales; Nostocaceae
Description: tRNA-Ser
Rfam family: tRNA
About the family: Transfer RNA (tRNA) molecules are approximately 80 nucleotides in length. Their secondary structure includes four short double-helical elements and three loops (D, anti-codon, and T loops).
Source: RNAcentral